This 337-nucleotide unclassified non-coding RNA is filed under the name fungal sp. Its description in RNAcentral is "partial internal transcribed spacer region". The stretch from base 1 to 46 matches the Rfam family "Eukaryotic small subunit ribosomal RNA", at positions 1786 to 1831 of the family's 1831-position model. Lineage: Eukaryota; Fungi. The record is from RNAcentral.
AAGUCGUAACAAGGUUUCCGUAGGUGAACCUGCGGAAGGAUCAUUACAAAUCGUCUCACCGUGGGUGUGAUGACGCGACAUAUGGACCCUGUUGAAUGGUGAAGAAACCACAAAGGGGCGAGGGCGCAGCCAAUCAUCGGUGAGCGCCCUUGCCCCUUUUUCAUGGACUAGUAUGGACAGAGCGGGCGGUGGUGCGCGUGUGUGGAAGAUGAUGAUUUGAGUUGAUUGGAUGAACCAUUCCAUCCUCUCCGUCAUCCAUCCAUGCGCGCGCGUCCCGCAUCAUCAUUGAUCAAUUAAAAUAUAUAUGUAACUUUUAACAAUGGAUCUCUUGGCUCUU